UACGGCUACCUUGUUACGACUUCACCCCAGUCGCUGACCUUACCGUGGCCUGCUGCCUCUAAAAGUUAGCACACAGUCUUCGGGUAAAACCAACUCCCAUGGUGUGACGGGCGGUGUGUACAAGGCCCGGGAACGUAUUCACCGUGGCAUGCUGAUCCACGAUUACUAGCGAUUCCAACUUCAUGCUCUCGAGUUGCAGAGAACAAUCCGAACUGAGACGGCUUUUAGAGAUUAGCUCCUCAUCGCUGAGUGGCUGCUCACUGUCACCGCCAUUGUAGCACGUGUGUAGCCCGGCCCGUAAGGGCCAUGAUGAUUUGACGUCAUCCCCACCUUCCUCCGGCUUAUCACCGGCAGUCCCUCUAGAGUGCCCAACUUAAUGCUGGCAACUAAAGGCGAGGGUUGCGCUCGUUGCGGGACUUAACCCAACAUCUCACGACACGAGCUGACGACAACCAUGCAGCACCUGUAUCCAAUCCAGCCGAACUGAAGGAAAGCAUCUCUGCUAUCCGCGAUUGGUAUGUCAAGGGCCGGUAAGGUUCUUCGCGUUGCCUCGAAUUAAACCACAUGCUCCACCGCUUGUGCGGGCCCCCGUCAAUUCCUUUGAGUUUUAGUCUUGCGACCGUAGUCCCCAGGCGGGGUGCUUAACGCGUUAGCUGCGUCACCAAACAGCAUGCUGCCUGACAACUAGCACCCAUCGUU
Molecule: ribosomal RNA, 699 nt
Filed under: uncultured bacterium
Lineage: Bacteria
Description: partial 16S ribosomal RNA
Source: RNAcentral